AGUGAACGCUGGCGGUAGGCCUAACACAUGCAAGUCGAACGGCAGCACAGUAAGAGCUUGCUCUUACGGGUGGCGAGUGGCGGACGGGUGAGGAAUACAUCGGAAUCUACUUUUUCGUGGGGGAUAACGUAGGGAAACUUACGCUAAUACCGCAUACGACCUACGGGUGGAAGCAGGGGAUCUUCGGACCUUGCGCGAUUGAAUGAGCCGAUGUCGGAUUAGCUAGUUGGCGGGGUAAAGGCCCACCAAGGCGACGAUCCGUAGCUGGUCUGAGAGGAUGAUCAGCCACACUGGAACUGAGACACGGUCCAGACUCCUACGGGGGGCAGCAGUGGGGAAUAUUGGACAAUGGGCGCAAGCCUGAUCCAGCCAUACCGCGUGGGUGAAGAAGGCCUUCGGGUUGUAAAGCCCUUUUGUUGGGAAAGAAAAGCAGCAGGUUAAUACCCCGCUGUUCUGACGGUACCCAAAGAAUAAGCACCGGCUAACU
RNAcentral lists this ribosomal RNA (487 nucleotides) under uncultured bacterium. RNAcentral's name for it is "partial 16S ribosomal RNA". It matches the Rfam family "Bacterial small subunit ribosomal RNA", at positions 29 to 502 of the family's 1533-position model. The record is from RNAcentral.